This 301-nucleotide ribosomal RNA is filed under the name uncultured bacterium. RNAcentral describes it as "partial 16S ribosomal RNA". It matches the Rfam family "Bacterial small subunit ribosomal RNA", at positions 509 to 815 of the family's 1533-position model. The record is from RNAcentral.
CAGUCGCCACGGUAAUACGUAGGUGGCAAGCGUUGUCCGGAAUUAUUGGGCGUAAAGGGCUCGCAGGCGGUUUCUUAAGUCUGAUGUGAAAGCCCCCGGCUCAACCGGGGAGGGUCAUUGGAAACUGGGAAACUUGAGUGCAGAAGAGGAGAGUGGAAUUCCACGUGUAGCGGUGAAAUGCGUAGAGAUGUGGAGGAACACCAGUGGCGAAGGCGACUCUCUGGUCUGUAACUGACGCUGAGGAGCGAAAGCGUGGGGAGCGAACAGGAUUAGAUACCCUGUAGUCCCUGUCUCUUGUACA